AUUACAUCCAUCCAAUAAGCAGAAGGAAGCCUACGGUUAUCAGUGAAGGUCUGUCCCGGAUUCUGGAAGACUAGUUCUAAAGAUUGACACUAUGAGUGGCUAUUCUCAUAUAUUUUGUGAGGCCACAUGGAUCCUAGAUCAUUGGGUAGUAGUAUAUGAGUUGUGAAAAAACUUCUGUGGUCAAAUUGCUAUUUCCGGUUCCAUACCCAUGGUUUGAGUUGAUUAGGAGCAAUUACCAGCACAGAAUAUUCUCCACAGAGCUCCGGAGAGAACAU
Molecule: long non-coding RNA, 275 nt
Filed under: Homo sapiens (human)
Lineage: Eukaryota; Metazoa; Chordata; Mammalia; Primates; Hominidae
Description: HSALNT0375866
Source: RNAcentral